GAGAAAGUUAAGGCUUUAAAUCUGUAAAAACCGCCAGUUAGCUAGCUUGGUUUCUCACUGGUCAAUCUUCAGGUCUCUGAGCUAACUUCCAUGGCGUCCGCAGGUUCUUCUCUCUUUCCGGUUAACUUUUCUUCUAUCGUUUGCUCUGGAACCAAGUCAUUUCCAGGAAGUUCAAGUAAUAAUUCCAUUCCGAUUUCGGUUCCGGUUUCCUUUUCGACUCACCGAUUGUCUGUGUCUACCACUGAAGACCAAUCAUCGGAGGCGAAGACGAAAAUCUUAGAGAAGAGAAAUCUCAAGAAUUCGGUAGAGGAGGAAGAAUCAGCUCAUACGACGUCGUUUUCACGCGAGGAAGGAUUUUGGUCUCAUGCUGACUUGACGAGGUUGAUCAGAUAAGGGAACGGCGAACGAGUGUAAAGGAUUACUUUGAGCAGGCCAAGGAUUUGAUCAGGUCAGACUGUGGACCGCCUCGUUGGUUCUCGCCCUUGGAGUGCGGGUCCCGCUUGAAUGAUUCUCCUCUGCUUCUUUUUUUGCCUGGAAUUGAUGGCGUCGGGCUUGGACUUGUAAAGCAUCAUGAAAAGCUCGGCAAAAUGUUUGACAUAUGGUGCUUGCAUAUUCCCGUUGAGGAUCGCACAUCUUUUGUGGGUUCGUCUUCUUUCCCUUUCAUUUGAUCAGUGUGUAUCUAUACAUGUUAAGUGUCGGG
Long non-coding RNA from Cannabis sativa, 700 nucleotides. RefSeq lists it as uncharacterized. NCBI's taxonomy places the organism in Eukaryota, Viridiplantae, Streptophyta, Magnoliopsida, Rosales, Cannabaceae. The transcript is spliced from 3 exons. The record is from RefSeq and is a predicted model, not a curated record.